RNAcentral lists this ribosomal RNA (1749 nucleotides) under Thermoproteota archaeon. RNAcentral's name for it is "bacterial SSU rRNA". It matches the Rfam family "Eukaryotic small subunit ribosomal RNA", at positions 1 to 1419 of the family's 1831-position model. The record is from RNAcentral. Lineage: Archaea; Thermoproteati; Thermoproteota.
UACCUGGUUGAUUCUGCCAGUAGUCAUAUGCUUGUCUCAAAGAUUAAGCCAUGCAUGUCUAAGUAUAAGCAAUUAUACCGCGAAACUGCGAAUGGCUCAUUAAAUCAGUUAUCGUUUAUUUGAUAGUACCUUACUACUUGGAUAACCGUGGUAAUUCUAGAGCUAAUACAUGCUAAAAAUCCCGACUCACGGAGGGAUGUAUUUAUUAGAUUAAAAACCAACGCCCUUCGGGGCUUCUUGGUGAUUCAUAAUAACUUCGCGAAUCGCAUGGCCUUGUGCCGGCGAUGGUUCAUUCAAAUUUCUGCCCUAUCAACUUUCGAUGGCAGGGUCUUGGCCUGCCAUGGUUACAACGGGUAACGGAGGGUUAGGGCUCGACCCCGGAGAAGGAGCCUGAGAAACGGCUACUACAUCCAAGGAAGGCAGCAGGCGCGCAAAUUACCCAAUCCCGAUUCGGGGAGGUAGUGACAAUAAAUACUGAUACAGGGCUCUUUUGGGUCUUGUAAUUGGAAUGAGUACAAUUUAAAUCCCUUAACGAGUAACAAUUGGAGGGCAAGUCUGGUGCCAGCAGCCGCGGUAAUUCCAGCUCCAAUAGCGUAUAUUAAAGUUGUUGCAGUUAAAAAGCUCGUAGUUGAACCUUGGGCCUGGCUGGCCGGUCCGCCUCACCGCGUGCACUGGUUCGGCCGGGCCUUUCCCUCUGGGGAUCCCCAUGCCCUUCACUGGGUGUGGCGGGGAACCAGGACUUUUACUGUGAAAAAAUUAGAGUGUUCAAAGCAGGCCUAUGCUCGGAUACAUUAGCAUGGAAUAAUAAAAUAGGACGUGCGGUUCUAUUUUGUUGGUUUCUAGGACCGCCGUAAUGAUUAAUAGGGACAGUCGGGGGCAUCAGUAUUCAAUUGUCAGAGGUGAAAUUCUUGGAUUUAUUGAAGACUAACUACUGCGAAAGCAUUUGCCAAGGAUGUUUUCAUUAAUCAGGAACGAAAGUUAGGGGAUCGAAGACGAUCAGAUACCGUCGUAGUCUUAACCAUAAACUAUGCCGACUAGGGAUCGGACGAUGUUAUUUUUUGACUCGUUCGGCACCUUACGAGAAAUCAAAGUCUUUGGGUUCUGGGGGAAGUAUGGUCGCAAGGCUGAAACUUAAAGAAAUUGACGGAAGGGCACCACCAGGAGUUAACCGCAAUUACGCACUCUGCUCCUUAAAGCAAGCCUUAUUUUUAAGGUCGGUGGUUGCUUAAAAUCUUGCUAGUCGGCUUUAUAUAGCUGGCGACACCCUCAAAUUGCGGGAACUUCUUAAAGCCUUCGACUACCGCGGCCCAUCGAAAGAUAGGGCGUCAGCACUAGGGCGUAACGGCCCUAGGGAUGGUAAAAACGUCGAGGAUACAGCGCUUCUUCGGGCGCUAGAAUAGAUAAUCCGCAGCCAAGCUCCCUUUCGGGGAGAAGGUUCAGAGACUUGACGGGGGUGGGUGUUAUACAAUAAGAUGACGCCUAAGAUGAAGUCCAAUCCACCGUCGAAAGAUAUGUGGCAUAUAGAUACGGGAGCCUGCGGCUUAAUUUGACUCAACACGGGGAAACUCACCAGGUCCAGACAUAAUAAGGAUUGACAGAUUGAGAGCUCUUUCUUGAUUUUAUGGGUGGUGGUGCAUGGCCGUUCUUAGUUGGUGGAGUGAUUUGUCUGCUUAAUUGCGAUAACGAACGAGACCUUAACCUGCUAAAUAGCCCGUAUUGCUUUGGCAGUACGCUGGCUUCUUAGAGGGA